CCAACAGGGAUUGCCUUAGUAACGGCGAGUGAAGCGGCAAAAGCUCAAAUUUGAAAUCUAACGCCUCUGGUGUUCGAGUUGUAAUUUGGAGAGGCAUCUUCCGGAGUGGCCCAGCCUAUGUACCUUGGAACAGGACGUCAUAGAGGGUGAGAAUCCCGUUCUUGGCUGGAUGUUCACUCCCGUAUGUAGUGUCUUCUACGAGUCGAGUUGUUUGGGAAUGCAGCUCAAAAUGGGUGGUAAAUUUCAUCUAAAGCUAAAUAUUGGCGAGAGACCGAUAGCGCACAAGUAGAGUGAUCGAAAGAUGAAAAGCACUUUGAAAAUAGAGUCAAACAGUACGUGAAAUUGUUGAAAGGGAAGCGCUUGAGACCAGAGUCAGCCUUUGACAAACAAUUGUCCUUCUGGGCGGUGCACUUGUCAUUGGUUGGGCCAGCAUCGGUUGGGACGGUGGGAUAAAGGCUUGGGAAAUGUGACUCCUUUAUGGAGUGUUAUAGUCCCAGGUGCCAU
This 504-nucleotide ribosomal RNA is filed under the name Tuber maculatum. RNAcentral describes it as "eukaryotic LSU rRNA". It matches the Rfam family "Eukaryotic large subunit ribosomal RNA", at positions 65 to 573 of the family's 3401-position model. The record is from RNAcentral. Lineage: Eukaryota; Fungi; Ascomycota; Pezizomycetes; Pezizales; Tuberaceae.